UUAACUCAAAUUUAUAUGGAGUUGGACCGUUUGCCGCCAGGGGCGCUGUUCCAACUGCAUACAAAUAUGAGUUA
RNAcentral lists this microRNA precursor (74 nucleotides) under Bombyx mori (domestic silkworm). RNAcentral describes it as "mir-2807 microRNA precursor family". It matches the Rfam family "mir-2807 microRNA precursor family". Lineage: Eukaryota; Metazoa; Arthropoda; Insecta; Lepidoptera; Bombycidae. The record is from Rfam by way of RNAcentral.